This 497-nucleotide ribosomal RNA is filed under the name uncultured bacterium. RNAcentral describes it as "partial 16S ribosomal RNA". It matches the Rfam family "Bacterial small subunit ribosomal RNA", at positions 28 to 507 of the family's 1533-position model. The record is from RNAcentral.
GAUGAACGCUGGCGGCGUGCCUAAUACAUGCAAGUCGAGCGAACAGACGAGGAGCUUGCUCCUCUGACGUUAGCGGCGGACGGGUGAGUAACACGUGGAUAACCUACCUAUAAGACUGGGAUAACUUCGGGAAACCGGAGCUAAUACCGGAUAAUAUAUUGAACCGCAUGGUUCAAUAGUGAAAGACGGUUUUGCUGUCACUUAUAGAUGGAUCCGCGCCGCAUUAGCUAGUUGGUAAGGUAACGGCUUACCAAGGCAACGAUGCGUAGCCGACCUGAAAGGGUGGUCGGCCACACUGGAACAGAGACACGGUCCAGACUCCUACGGGAGGCAGCAGUAGGGAAUCUUACGCAAUGGGCGAAAGCCUGACGGAGCAACGCGGCGUGAGUGAUGAAGGUCUUCGGAUCGUAAAACUCUGUUAUUAGGGAAGAACAAAUGUGUAAGUAACUAUGCACGUCUUGACGGUACCUAAUCAGAAAGCCACGGCUAACUACGUG